GGAGGGUGCAAGCGUUGUUCGGAAUUACUGGGCGUAAAGAGCGUGUAGGCGGUUUGGCAAGUCAGAUGUGAAAGCCCUGGGGCUCAACCCAGGAAGUGCAUUUGAAACUGCCAUUCUAGAGUAUGGGAGAGGAGAGUGGAAUUCCCGGUGUAGAGGUGAAAUUCGUAGAUAUUGGGAGGAACACCCGUGGCGAAGGCGACUCUCUGGACCAAUACUGACGCUGAGACGCGAAAGCGUGGGGAGCAAACAGGAUUAGAUACCCUGGUAGUCCACGCCGUAAACGAUGAGAACUAGGUGUAGCGGGUAUUGACCCCUGCUGUGCCGUAGCUAACGCAUUAAGUUCUCCGCCUGGGGAGUACGGUCGCAAAGGCUA
Molecule: ribosomal RNA, 373 nt
Filed under: uncultured organism
Description: partial 16S ribosomal RNA
Rfam family: Bacterial small subunit ribosomal RNA
Source: RNAcentral